AGCGAACGCUGGCGGCAGGCCUAACACAUGCAAGUCGAACGAAGUCUUCGGACUUAGUGGCGGACGGGUGAGUAACACGUGGGAACGUGCCCUUUGGUACGGAAUAACUCAGGGAAACUUGAGCUAAUACCGUAUGUGCCCUUCGGGGGAAGGAUUUAUCGCCAUUGGAGCGGCCCGCGUCUGAUUAGCUAGUUGGUGAGGUAAAGGCUCACCAAGGCGACGAUCAGUAGCUGGUCUGAGAGGAUGAUCAGCCACAUUGGGACUGAGACACGGCCCAAACUCCUACGGGAGGCAGCAGUGGGGAAUCUUGCGCAAUGGGCGAAAGCCUGACGCAGCCAUGCCGCGUGAAUGAUGAAGGUCUUAGGAUUGUAAAGUUCUUUCACCGGGGACGACAAUGACGGUACCCGGAGAAGAAGCCCCGGCUAACUUCGUGCCAGCCGCCGCCGUAA
Molecule: ribosomal RNA, 449 nt
Filed under: uncultured bacterium
Lineage: Bacteria
Description: partial 16S ribosomal RNA
Rfam family: Bacterial small subunit ribosomal RNA
Source: RNAcentral